RNAcentral lists this long non-coding RNA (1002 nucleotides) under Betta splendens (Siamese fighting fish). Its description in RNAcentral is "lncRNA (ENSBSLG00000004879.1)". The record is from RNAcentral. Lineage: Eukaryota; Metazoa; Chordata; Actinopteri; Anabantiformes; Osphronemidae.
AUGACCUCUGCUUGCCUGACCUUGCUAAUACACCUUCUUAUCAUACUCAAGUCAACGCUGUGCAUUCGGGUCCUUCCUCCACCGUCGGUUUGUGACAGAACAAUCUGGCCAAACAUGGACCCAGCCGGCGCCAAGUCCAUCAAGAACGAGCUGCAAGCCCAGGAAGCGCGGAUUCGUACUCAAGAAGAACGAAUCACCACUAUGCUUCAGGAACUUUCCAGAUACGCAGCUCGCCAGGAAAAUCUCAUGACGGCGUACGGAGAACAACUGGCGGAACUUACCCAGCGAGUAAAACCAGCUCCAGCUCCGGUCGCCGCCGCAAUACCCACGCCGAGCUCAGCCGCUCCACACAUUCAACUCGGAGCUCCGACGUGCUUCUCCGGUGACACAGGUCUUCCGGCAACAUGUCCCAACUCACCAUGCCCACGCGGAGGGAGUCGCCGAGUCAGCCGAGUCAGCCGCGUCAGCAUCAGCAUCAGCAUCAGCAUCAGCAUCAGCAUCACAACCCAUGGUAUUGGGACGCCUACGUCUGACGAGCGUGGAGAAGGACCGCAGACGAAACUCAGGUCUGUGCUUAUACUGUGGCCAACCCGGCCAUAUCGCCUUUUCAUGCCCAGUAAAAGCCAACACUCCCCACUAGUCCAGAGGUUAGUGGUGAGCCAAUCUACACUGUGCAAAUCCUCCGUCAGGCCAUUACCCGUAGCCACAUUCUCCGUGGGGACCCAGUCUAUCCAGCAGGCAGUUUUGGUGGAUUCCGGUGCCGACGCUAGCCACAUGGAUGCUAGCCUGGCCCAGUGUCUGGGCGUGCCCACGUUUCCACUACCUACCUCAUUAGAAGCCACAGCCUUAGACGGUCAUAGAUUAUGGAAGGUCACGCACAGUACUGGUCCCAUCACUAUGGUUUUCCCAGAUGCUCAUUCAGAGCAGAUCCAUUUUCAUGUGGUCGAGUCUUCUGCACAUCCCGUGGUCCUUGGUUAUACCUGGCUCAGCCGCCAGGUAUAG